UGCAGCCGAGUCACUACUGUCUGCCUGCCUGCUACGAUGUGCCCUGGAGAGCCCCCCCAUCUCUCAGGGGCCACCUCCCACAGUUCCUCCACCACCACGUGUGGUGGACAAGCUCUCCCUGUGUGUGGCUCCGGGGAAGGCCUGCAGCCCUGCAGCCAGCGAGAUCACAGGUCUGAGCACAGCUGUGCUGGCAGCGCAUGGGCGUCAAUGUUUCGAUGACAACUUGGCCAACCUGCUCCUAGCCUUCCUGCGGCGCCAGCCACAGCCCUGGUGCCUGGUGGCACACAAUGGUGACCGCUACGACUUCCCCCUGCUCCAAGCAGAGCUGGCUCUGCUGGGCCUCACCAGUGCUCUGGAUGGUGCCUUCUGUGUGGAUAGCAUCACUGCACUGAAGGCCCUGGAGCGAGCAAGCAGCCCCUCAGAACACGGCCCAAGGAAGAGCUACAGCCUAGGCAGCAUCUACACACGCCUGUAUGGGCAGUCCCCUCCAGACUCGCACACGGCUGAGGGUGACGUCCUGGCCCUGCUCAGCAUCUGUCAGUGGAGACCACAGGCCCUGCUGCGGUGGGUGGAUGCUCACGCCAGGCCCUUCGGCACCAUCAGACCCAUGUAUGGGGUCACAGCCUCUGCUAGGACCAAGCCAAGACCAUCUGCUGUCACAACCACUGCACACCUGGCCACAACCAGGAACA
Molecule: small RNA, 692 nt
Filed under: Pongo abelii (Sumatran orangutan)
Lineage: Eukaryota; Metazoa; Chordata; Mammalia; Primates; Hominidae
Description: processed transcript
Source: RNAcentral